GUGCAUCUUUCCUGCCUCCUCGGUGUGUGUAUGUCUAUAUAAAUCAAAGCACUUAUGUGCAUAUAUACAUACAUAUGGGCAAUAAUUGUGCUUGGAAGACAAAAAUAAAAAGGUGAAUAUUUGGAGAGAGUUUCACUAAGAAGUCAAGGCCAAGAAAUGGGACCAUUCUUUUUUAUGGGAGGGAAAGGAGCUUCUGGGUUGCCUGGAGUUGAAUUUCCAAGGCAUGUCUGAAGAACUGUUUUGGCCAUGCUCUUUUUUGCACUGACAGCAUCUGUUCUGUGCUCUAGCAAAUAAACACGGCAAAAAGCAAGAAGGAAGCAAUGAAAAGCACUUAAAUGAGUCAAGUUUCUGCCUUCAUAUAGACGGUUAAAGUUAUUUCCAGAGGAACUAAGGCUAAAAAAACAUCAAACCAACAAACCCAAAGCAUAGCCAGAAUCUAAUUUUCCAUCCCAUUUGCCUUCCCCCUCAAGAAAGCACAUCUAAGGAAACCAAUGACAAAGAAUGUGGCUGCAUAAUAUUGAUCCAACACAACCAUGCAAUGUCAUGGUCAUCACAAAAGAAAAAUAUUCAUGGUAACUGUUGCUGAACAUUUGUAGUUACCAUUCAAAACCACCCCAGGUGAAAUCCUGGAUUUGAGCCUCAAAUUCGUCUCCUCUAGUCAGCUGAAUUCUGGAACCUUAAGGACAAUAGUGACCCCUAAUCAACAAUGCUGCACACUGUAAUGUUUAGGGCAACUCAGCAAUUGUCUGAUGAGCAAAGUCCCGUUUGCCAACAAAGGAUGGCGAACUAUCAAAAGCCAAAAUGUUCAUUCAACAUAAGCACUUCUUAACCAUUAACCUUUGGUUUAAGGUCCAAGUUAUUAUGAUUCAUGAUAGUUUAGCCAUAAGGGGGCUAGAAGAGCACACGUGUGAGAAAUAACGAUUCUGAUGACCAACAAGCAGGGGUAACCGUGACCGUCACAGUCACUUCAUGAGGAAUAGAAAAUGUGGGCUUAAAAAAGUAAAGUUCAAGAGCACAUAUUCAGACAUAGCUGAUGGAUCAAAAGAUAAUUAACUGAAGCAUUUGUGAAUCAAAAGUGAUCCCAAAAGGCUGAUUUGUAUUCUAUUCUUACAAAGUUAAAUCUUUUUGAAUUACAUGAACUAACUGGGAUUUUCACAGCACAACAAAUAAUUACAAAUUAUACAGAAGAGAGAAGCAAAAUAAAAGAGAAAUGCAAUCAAUAAAAGAUUAUCAAGACUUUCUCAGUUCAAAGGAGGACUUGUUCACACAGGAAGACAAUUAAGACAAGUCAAAAGCAAAAUUAAUAGACUUUCACUACAAGCCAGUUUCUCCCCGUUAUCUUAGAGAGUCUUUGGAGAAGCCAGAAUAACAGGCCCUUGGGAUAUAAAUCAGUGCAUUAAGUAAGGCCCUACAUGCUACCCAACUUCUCUGGACAACUUAUGUCCUAGGAGAAUCACACAUUUGUGUGACAAUGAUAGUAGAAAGGGUCAAUAAACUGCUCUUUUAGAAAAAAGAAACAACAUAAGUAAAAACAGAAGGACAGAAAGGAUCCAUUGUUUUUGUUGCUGGUCAUGCUUUUGCUCCCCUUUAUACUUAGGAGAAUUACAACUUCCACUAUACUCAAUGACCCUGGAAGAGUCUAAACGCUUCCUUCCAAGAAGAUAAUCAGCUGUUUACUCCUGAACAAUAAUAUCAAAUACACCCAUUACAAAAUCCUGGAGAAUUUUGAGGGAGUAGUCUGCACUUUGCCAGUAAGCUGAAUCACUAGGCUUCUCGUCCACUCCUACCUAAGGAGACCAGGAUGCAUGCAACAACCGACUUCUAUCCUUUAAUAAGGUUCUAGGCUUUCAGUAGCUGCCGGGGCCAUGUGGAAGAGGAUCAGGGAAUGAGAUUACCUCUGAGAUUACCACUUAUAAUAACAAUUGAGAGAAGGUCAAGAUACGGAUGGGCAAAAACGAGGUCAUCAUAAUCUUUGAUUUGACCUCGAAUUGACAAAGGGAGUUGGAGAACUCUGUCUCUGUCCAUAGAUGUGGAGAUGAUAGAUCAUCUCUGGGCCAUUGAAGUAAUAGAGUGAGUGACUUGCUGGGGUCAUUCCUCUUCCCCACCCAUAUUAACCAAAAGAACAGUGAUAUUUUCAGAUUUAUGUACAUCCCGACCAAUCCAGAUUUUUAUGUGUCUGUUUUUAAGUGAAAAACAUACAUAAAAUCAAAUCACUUACCAAGAUAGGCUGUGGCCAAAAAAAAGGAGAGAAAAAAGCUGGAUAAGUUAGAUAACGCAGGUAUUUUAAAUACUCUUAUCCCACCACAAACCUGGAUUCUUUAAUCUUCUAACUGGGCCAUUGUGAGCAAAAACCAGAUGCCUCAAGGAACUCUGUGGCAUCUAAAAGGAAGACUUUCCCAUGACCACUCAACUCCACUCUGCCAUGAUCAAGCAGGGGCAGGCCUCUGGAGCGCUGACUAAACUUUUGAGUUUUUCUUAGCAUUAUAUUUUAAAGCGUUUCCAAUCAUUUUGGAGAUAUAGUUCUUAUUUUUUUAAUUAUAAUGCCCUUGUAGUAACUGAUCUGAUAACAAAGAUUCCCAUUGGUACCCUCCAGGGGUAUAAAGGCAAACUUUAUAGGGAUGAAUAUAUUUUUAAUAUAAAAAUUAGCUUAAAAUAUACAGGCUAAAUCCCUGUUAGGGUUAGCCUGCCAAUCAAUGGUAUAACCCCCUUCCCCAGCUAACUCCCUUUUGGGGUUAGUCUGCUAAACUUCUCUAUGGGUUUAGCCUGCCACUUAAUGGCAUGUGUCCCCUCAGAGCUAGUGUAUUCCAUUUAAUGGCAACCUCCUUCUGGUUAAUUGCUGUCUGACAAGACAGGGCUGACGAUUCCUGGUCAAACACAGAUAAUGAAUUCAAUUUUAAUAUGAAGAAACAACCAAAGUUGAACUUGACUAAAAUAAUCGAUACUUUUCAGCAAAUAAGAAAAAGCAUAGAUGAAAAGAGUAGUACUGUCCAUCCAGAACAUAGAUCUUUUCUUGGGCACGUUCAGUCAGAUAGUGAAAAAGAAACUAUGACAGGUCCCCUGCUGAAGCCUUCAGCCCCAGUGCGGCGCUCCCCCUCAUCCUGUCCAUCCUUCACCUGGCUUCUUUUCAGAGUCUUCCCGUGUGAUGUCUGCUCUUCUGGCCUGUAAUAAGAUGGACAUUGCUUCAAGGAAGAACCAACAAUCAGAAGAGGCAGAAGAGGAAGAAAAGGAAGAUCGUGUAAUGAAAGCAGAAAACAAACACUUCAUAAAAUUCCAAAGCUUCCCAAUGAACUUCAUGCUCGCAGUACAUCAGAGAAAUGUACGGUGAGAAAAGAUAUGUCAGCAUAUCUUGGUAGAGGAAAAAGAUUCAGA
Molecule: long non-coding RNA, 3369 nt
Filed under: Sarcophilus harrisii (Tasmanian devil)
Lineage: Eukaryota; Metazoa; Chordata; Mammalia; Dasyuromorphia; Dasyuridae
Description: lncRNA (ENSSHAG00000024757.1)
Source: RNAcentral